AGAGUUUGAUCAGUGGCUCAGGACGAACGCUGGCGGUAUGCCUAACACAUGCAAGUCGAACGAAAAACGAGGGCUUGCUCUCGUUUUUAGUGGCGCACGGGUGAGUAACGCGUAGGUAAUCUGCCGCAAAGAUGGGGACAACAGUUCGAAAGGACUGCUAAUACCGAAUGUUGUAAGUAAUUCGCAUGAGUAACUUACUAAAGAUUUAUCGCUUUGCGAGGAGCCUGCGUCCGAUUAGGUAGUUGGUAAGGUAAGAGCUUACAAAGCCGACGAUCGGUAACCGGUCUGAGAGGAUGAACGGUCACAUUGGAACUGAGACACGGUCCAGACUCC
RNAcentral lists this ribosomal RNA (333 nucleotides) under uncultured Veillonellaceae bacterium. Its description in RNAcentral is "bacterial SSU rRNA". It matches the Rfam family "Bacterial small subunit ribosomal RNA", at positions 8 to 339 of the family's 1533-position model. Lineage: Bacteria; Bacillati; Bacillota; Negativicutes; Veillonellales; Veillonellaceae. The record is from RNAcentral.